GUGGGGAAUCUUAGACAAUGGGGGAAACCCUGAUCUAGCCAUGCCGCGUGAGCGAUGAAGGCCUUAGGGUUGUAAAGCUCUUUCAGCUGGGAAGAUAAUGACGGUACCAGCAGAAGAAGCUCCGGCUAACUCCGUGCCAGCAGCCGCGGUAAUACGGAGGGGGCUAGCGUUGUUCGGAAUUACUGGGCGUAAAGCGCGCGUAGGCGGACCAGAAAGUUGGAGGUGAAAUCACAGGGCUCAACCUUGGAACUGCCUUCAAAACUCCGGGUCUGGAGUUCGAGAGAGGUGAGUGGAAUUCCGAGUGUAGAGGUGAAAUUCGUAGAUAUUCGGAGGAACACCAGUGGCGAAGGCGGCUCACUGGCUCGAUACUGACGCUGAGGUGCGAAAGCGUGGGGAGCAAACAGGAUUAGAUACCCCAGUAGUCC
This 425-nucleotide ribosomal RNA is filed under the name uncultured bacterium. RNAcentral's name for it is "partial 16S ribosomal RNA". It matches the Rfam family "Bacterial small subunit ribosomal RNA", at positions 354 to 796 of the family's 1533-position model. The record is from RNAcentral.